CAUGGAAGCUGGGUUCCCAAAAAACUAUCCAUCCAAGAGUUAGCAGGUCAGAAACUGUAGUAUCUUUGAGAACGCAGUCUCAGAAGUGGUUCUGCAUCACUAUAUUUCAUCCACAAUAUCCUAUUUGUUACUAAGUUAAGCCCUAUUCAGUGUCAGGAGGUGGAGACUACUAGGCCAGCAAUCACCUGCCAGGAUGGGAGGACCUCUGGGGGCCACCUUGGAAGCCAGUCCCCAUCAUGGAACUGUCCAUUGACAGAAUAGGCUGUGUCAUGAGACAAUAAGUGCCUGGAGGUACACAAACAAACCUGGCCCCAAACUGAGUAAAUGAGGAAAGGGGGUGGGCAGUUUUCUAGAGCACAUUGUGAAUAGUCUAGACAAGCUUCCUCCUUUCAGAACUCAUUGUUCUCUAAGGAGUAUGUAAACUGACUUGAAAAAAAGAAAAGAGAGAGGGAAAUUAAGUGAGUUGAAAACACCAAAAUAGCUCUCAUUUUUUAGAGUGAAACUAUUUGAUAAAUUAUUUGAGGGUUACAUUUAUGAAGCGGGCAUGGAGGUGAGGGCAAACCAGAGCAAUCCCCCAAGAUGAGAUGAUUGGCAGUAUACCCUGGAGAAGGGAGCAAGAAUUUAAACACUGAGAAUUGUUUAAUUAGCCUAACUUCAUUCAAGACCUCUCAGCCUCAUUUUCAUUGUUUGUCUUACAUACAUAACAUCCUUCGGUAUCAGCCCAUCUUUUUGCAGCAUCAAGCCCCAAGACUCUGAAACAGUGUUUUAGAUAACCUACUAGGCAUUUCAUUCUCUAAAGAAACCAAUUAUAUAUGAAAUUAAUAAUUAAAAAUUAUAAAUAGAAAGAACAAGAAAACAUGCAUACUCCAUGUCCUGCGGGUAGAUUUUUGCAUGGUGUGUAGGGAAUUAGGUGCAAAAAAAUCCAUUUAUGUUAAUGGGCAUUGCAUGUCUAAUUUCUCAUGCACCACACUGCCGACUUCCCCCUGUGUCUUUGUCAGUACAUGGGACUGAUGGAGGGGGAAAGAAAAGUGAAUGAUUUAUUUGAUGGUCUGUCAAUCAUAACAGCAACCAGAGAAAUUCCAAAACUGUUUUUAACCUCUAUAGAAACAGUUAGUUAGACCAUAUGCUUUUUUCUUCUUGCCAGAUGCUGUCAUUCAUCAAUUUCCUAUUAAGAAAAUGGGAUUCUGCAAAACCACUGAGGGUCUUUCUCAUUUGUAAUAGAUAUGCCACAAAAUCAGAUUGCAAACGUAUUCUGCAGCUUGUGCAAAAUAACUUCUGACACUUGCUAAUCUCCAUAUUAAUUCUGACUGACCUUUGAUGGUGUUUCUUAUGUGUGGUCAGAACAUCAUCCAAAAAUAUUAUUUUAAAAUUACUUUUACCCUGAGUUUAAGCCUAGAGGUUAAAUAGAUUUGUUUGUGAUUAUCCAGUCUAUAAAAAAGAAAUUAAAUGGACAUUUAAAAAUACCAGUUCCCUCCUAAAAUACUCUUUAGAUAGUAAAGAGAGAUAAUAAAAUGUCUGAGAAUUAAAGUAAGCAACAUGAGCCAAGCAUUGAUCACUCGAAGACAUCAAAGAAACUGAAAAAAAAUUUUUUUAAUUAUAUUGACCCCUCUCACCCCACCAAGUACAAAGAUCAUUUUGUUGAGAGCAGAUGGCUGCUAAUUACUAUAAGCUCCUGAGUGGAUUUGUUUGUUUGCUUGUUUGUUUAUAAUCAUGGAUAAAGACACCUAGAAAACCUAAGGACUCCUUUUCUUAGGGACAAUAAAAUCCAUCCUCUCCUCAGCAGCAGUACAUCGUCAGGCUUCAGGACAUGGCUAUAACAACAAUUGCAUUUUGGGUUUUAAAUUUGAAUGUUCUAGGUAGUUGGAAUAUAUUGACACUUGCCAUCAUUUCUAACACAGAUUUUCUUGAGGUAUUCUUAUGAUAACACUGGUGGCUUCAAAUGUUUGCUUGUCAUGCCGAACUCACUGAGCAAACCAGCGAACAUGGAAGUUUAAGGGAAAAGAAUACCACUGCACAACUUUCAAUCUGCAGCAUUUUGCAUUUCUUAUUAAUAGGAACUGACUCUUUGACAAACCCUGCAAAUGCUUUAUAGGAGUGAGGAAUGCUCUGAAAUUCAAGGCAAAUUUCGUUCAAUAGUUAAGCACUGAUCAAAAUUCUGAAUUUUCUCUGGCUGUCAGCCAGCAAGCAGGGGCUGCUUAUUGUUUAAGAUUUUAGUAGAAAGCCACUCAGAGGGGAGGGGAAAAAAAAAAAAAUCUAUGACUUUACAGCUGUCAGACUUUGUUGUAUCUACUCCAGCCUAAUAUUCUCAAGUCUAAUUUUUUUUUAAGCUUUGUCUUUUUAUUCAUAGACCCAGUAGAGAGUGCAUAUAGCCAUAAACGUGUGCCUCCAUCACACGGCAUUGCUAUUGACCCCUGCCCUGAGCUGAAGAUUGUACCUUCUCAGGGGAUAACAAAUGAUUCACUUUGCAGGUAGGCAGAGGCCUGGAGCUCCCUUCUCCAGACACUGCCAAUUUUCCUGAAUGAUCUCUUGUGAUUGGUUUUCUCAUAUGAAUGGACUCUCUGAGUACACCACCACCAAACUCUGUUUAUUUAGGAAUAUGUCUUUGACAAGAACAGCUGUCCUGGGGUUGAAAUGAUUAGUACUUUAUCUGCUAAUGCAGGUUCCCAUUUGGCUGUGGGCUAAAAACACAUUUCCAUCCUGGGAAAACAUUGCUGCCAUUUCUUGGCCCCCAAACAAGUUUUUGGUGUUUGAUCAAGCUGAGCCACUAAAAAAAAAAUGACAAUAAUCUUAUGUAAGGUCACUGGCUUGACCUCUAACGGCCGACUAAGGUUCCAGUUCUGUAAGGUGAACCGGAAAAACGAGCAAGCUCUGUGCAUAGAAAUAGUAGCCAAGUUUCCUCUAUUAAUCCAGCCUCACUUGGGAGCAUGGUUAAAAUAAGGAUACAGGUGAGCACAAAAGAGAUAGGAUCCUGAGUCUGACCUUGACUUAGAGAGAAAAUUCUUUAACAGGUCCAUAGUGGGUGGGAGAAAUGGAGCUAGAGGCCCUCAGCCAGAAAAUUAUUUAACCUGGAGCUAACAUUCUUUCAAACUUCCUGUUUAGGAGUGUUAAGGUAUUUCCAAGCACAGUUGUACAAACACAUAUCCAUUGUGAGAUACAAAUAUGUGUAGUCUGUUGAAUAAAAUAUUAAAAAGUAACCACUACUUUUUGAAAUAUUGGUCUGUCAUUUUUUAGUGUUUUGAUUAUUUGGGCAUCUUAAUGCUUUUCAAUAGCAUCUGCCGAAGCCCACUGAAAAACUUUAAGAUUGGUUUAAAGCACUGUUAAACUAACCCGCAAAGAGCAGAGCCCAUAACAAAUUAGUAAAUUGUCACAAACUAGGUGGCAAGACAGCAAAAAUAUAUUUUCUCAAAGUCCUGAAGAUGAACCACUUCAAAUCAAAUUAUCAGCAGGGCCAUAUUCUCUGAAGGCUCCAGGAAGACUCUUUCCUUGCCUUUUCCUUUCUUCUGGUAGCUCCCAGCAGUCCUCAUUAUUCCCUGUCACAUCUUCUUUGAGGCUCUGUCUCUGUUUCCGUGUGUCUCUCUGUGUAACAUCUGCUUUCUUAUACAUCCGUCAUUGGAUUUAGGGUCCACCCUAGUCCUAUAUGACCUCAUCUUAAAUACAUCUGCCAAGAUCCUAGUCUUAAAUAAGGUCAUAUUCCCAGGUAGACCUGAAUUUUGGGAAAACACAUCAGCCCAAAUCUCUUUCUCCAUGUGACCUACUGGGAUAACUAGGAAAACAGCAGGAACAGUGGCCUACCUUUUUCUUUGAAAGGUAUUUGAUGACCUGACAGUUGUAGUAAAGACCACAGCAAAGGCCUGUAGAAUAAACAAUGGGAAAAUAAGACAGAGGCACAGAGACAAGGAAAUUUCUUCAUGCCUUCCUCAUAGAGCCCAUGUAUUUUCCCAACCAAAGUCUUAGCUGUACUUCACACUUGCCCCCUCAGCAGAGAAACUGGUCUCCCCAUGGCCCAAGGCACAGGAACAUGUGUCACAUGGGGACUGGAAGCCACUGUAAAUGUGGCACCUCUUCUUAAUGCAUCAGUUGUAUUCAAUUAUUUAGUUAUUAAAAACAUGUUUAGGUUGAAAUAAACAUGACUACUUUUUAGUAGUUCCUGUUGUGGCUCAGUGAUAAUGAACCCGACCAGCACCAAUGAGGAUGCGGAUUUGAUCCCUGGCCUCGCUCAGUGGGUUAAAGGAUCUGGCAUUGUCAUGACCUGUGGUUUAGGUCACAGAUAUGGCUCAGAUCCCGCAUUACUGUUGCUGUGACAUAGGCCGGUGACCACAUCUCUGAUUUGACCCCUAGCCUGGGAACUUCCAUAU
RNAcentral lists this long non-coding RNA (4355 nucleotides) under Sus scrofa (pig). Its description in RNAcentral is "lncRNA (ENSSSCG00000042765.1)". Lineage: Eukaryota; Metazoa; Chordata; Mammalia; Artiodactyla; Suidae. The record is from RNAcentral.